This 275-nucleotide ribosomal RNA is filed under the name uncultured bacterium. RNAcentral describes it as "partial 16S ribosomal RNA". It matches the Rfam family "Bacterial small subunit ribosomal RNA", at positions 523 to 796 of the family's 1533-position model. The record is from RNAcentral.
ACACGUAGGGGGCAAGCGUUGUCGGGAUUUAUUGGGCGUAAAGAGCUCGUAGGCGGUUUCGUAAGUCGUGUGUGAAAACUCAGGGCUCAACCCUGAGACGCCACUCGAUACUGCGAUGACUAGAGUCCGGUAGAGGAGCAUGGAAUUCCUGGUGUAGCGGUGAAAUGCGCAGAUAUCAGGAGGAACACCAGUAGCGAAGACGGUGCUCUGGGCCGGUACUGACGCUGAGGAGCGAAAGCGUGGGGAGCAAACAGGAUUAGAAACCCCGGUAGUCC